AAUGAAAAAGAGAGGGGUAAGGGCGUUCCUUAGAUAGGGGGGACCGACUUGUUUCCCAGUAGUCGAGGUAGUUCUGUGCAGUGAAGGGGAGCAUCUCAUCAACGAAUAUCCUAGGGCAUUAAGAGAGAGGUCGUAAACGAAAAACAACUACAAAAAGAAAAAUGUUGCUCCACAACCACCUUGAUAUGAUCGGGAGGAACGAGCCGAUCCAGAGGAAAGCCAAAUUCUGGCAGUCUUAUGUCAGAGCUCUUAAAGGCACUGAUGACAUAAGGGCACCAGAGGCGUCCCACUACUCUCGCUACCCAUCAUCCAGGGGUCUUUUCCGUCCCCUUCUCGACUCUUUCCCAACUUGGCCCCACGUCAAGUCUAUGUACGACGACCCGAUCGCCCCGUCCGACAGGAUCUCCGUCCCUGGCUACCGUUACCUCCCUAUAUCCAGGGAAACAUACGGCCUUUCCCCGAGGAACAUCUACCCACAUCACUACUCGAGCCUGGACCGUUAUCCGCGCACCGAAUACUACUAUCCUUUUACUGACUGGGAUCGUCUUGACCGCCAACCUGAACAUAAGUACCUGAACCCGGCCUACAGGAAGCCAUUUGUUAAGGAGUACACUAUUGGACCCGAUGGAGCCAAAGUUCCACUUUACACGUAUACAGAUUUACCCAAGGUGACUAUCAAGAGCGUAUUCCUCAAACCGUUCGUCCCACCGUACAGCACUCCGAUCUACAGCCGUGGAGGAAUCACCAGGAGGCCAUUGACUGACCUCUUCUCUCCCAGGAGCUAUGUCCCUUUGUCGAGGUACACCAGAGACCCUUGGUGGUGGUCAUACCCAUCACUUAAGCCGUUUGAAUCACUUUAUUCAAGACACUCUCCUUUCUAUCUGAGGGACAGCUACUUGUCCCCUGUCAAGAAUACUUACCUUUGGCGGGAUCAUCCUUUCCGUGCCUUCUGGUGAUUGGAAUCACAAAGGUUUUCAAACAAUGCAGAGAAAUAAUGCUAUAAUUAUUGCUAAUCCCAGCUACAAAAAACUACACCCAGGUUGUACUACUAAACUGGAUGAUCAAUAGGGGGAAGCAGUGAAAAUUCAUCAAAAAUGAAAUCUCUAAAUCAAAAUAACUAUUUUUGUAAAAAAUCCAAAAAUUAAACAAGA
This is an RNA transcript of Cimex lectularius (bed bug), 1151 nucleotides long. RefSeq lists it as uncharacterized. The transcript is spliced from 8 exons. Lineage: Eukaryota; Metazoa; Arthropoda; Insecta; Hemiptera; Cimicidae. The record is from RefSeq and is a predicted model, not a curated record.